Molecule: non-coding RNA, 163 nt
Filed under: Methyloligella halotolerans
Lineage: Bacteria; Pseudomonadati; Pseudomonadota; Alphaproteobacteria; Hyphomicrobiales; Hyphomicrobiaceae
Description: TPP sequence
Rfam family: TPP riboswitch aptamer (THI element)
About the family: Vitamin B(1) in its active form thiamin pyrophosphate (TPP) is an essential coenzyme that is synthesised by coupling of pyrimidine and thiazole moieties in bacteria. The previously detected thiamin-regulatory element, thi box was extended, resulting in a new, highly conserved RNA secondary structure, the THI element, which is widely distributed in eubacteria and also occurs in some archaea. Analysis of operon structures identified a large number of new candidate thiamin-regulated genes, mostly transporters, in various prokaryotic organisms.
Source: Rfam by way of RNAcentral
UUGUGUUCCGAGGGGUGUCCCAGGCAAGGGACUGAGACGCCGCGAUCGCAUCCUCCGGACGGUCCAUCUCUAGACGUUCGAUGGACCGGAGCGAUGCGCCUAGCGGUGACCCUUUGAACCUGAUCCGGGUCACGCCGGCGAAGGGACGGGAACCGUUUCAAGC